This 218-nucleotide long non-coding RNA is filed under the name Gossypium raimondii (Peruvian cotton). RNAcentral's name for it is "long non-coding RNA (GRAI_LNC004285)". Lineage: Eukaryota; Viridiplantae; Streptophyta; Magnoliopsida; Malvales; Malvaceae. The record is from RNAcentral.
ACACGUACCCUAUUCUAGACUUAACAUAUGUUUAUGUGGUCUCAUGCACGAUCCCACGUGUGACCUCGCAAGGGAGUAUAAGUACCCCUCCUGCGAAUACUUAACAUCAUGCGAGCUCAAUUGUAAACUCGAUAUGCGAGCUCAAUCUGCAAACUUGGUAUGCGAGCUUAACAUACAAACCAUGUAGAAUUCAGCCCAAACCCAUUCGGGUUGCGGGU